CAGAAUUCUGAAAGAAAUUUCUCUGUGGGCACCAAACCUUUUCUCCACAGACCUUCUGUUCAGCUGUAAAUUCUUUUUGAAUCGGGUACAUGUGAAGUGAUAAGAGAGAACAGAAGGUAUUGGACACUGGAAUCAGUAAUUUGAAAUUCUCCUGAACAAGUUCAAUCUAGACAAAAAAAGGAAAUUGCAGCCAUUCAAAGAUAAAAGAGAUGAUCGAAAGAAAUCACAUCCUACAUCAAUCAAGUUGACCAGUGCUCAGAGUCUGGCUACAUGGCACCUUUACCACCCAGACUGCUAACCUACAUAGCCUGUGGUCCAUUGAAGAAUCUGUCUUCAUUUACCAAUGCCAUAUUUUACCUUUGUACAGAAUCUGCAUACUUUCAAUUUCACUUUUUUUUUCCCCAGUAGCCUCAACCACACAGAAGAAUGUGACUAUAUAGAGAAAUGAACUGAAAAGAACUUCCAAUUUUCUUAUGGAGGUGUUUCCUGAAAAGACAGUGUGGUAGGUU
Molecule: long non-coding RNA, 509 nt
Organism: Motacilla alba alba
Lineage: Eukaryota; Metazoa; Chordata; Aves; Passeriformes; Motacillidae
Exons: 3
Source: RefSeq, a predicted model, not a curated record